This is a long non-coding RNA of Syngnathus acus (greater pipefish), 467 nucleotides long. RefSeq lists it as uncharacterized. NCBI's taxonomy places the organism in Eukaryota, Metazoa, Chordata, Actinopteri, Syngnathiformes, Syngnathidae. The transcript is spliced from 2 exons. The record is from RefSeq and is a predicted model, not a curated record.
GAUAGAGAGUCAAAAGGACACACAAUCAUUCUGUGAUCAAAAAACACAAACUAACUUUGGAAGAAACCAACAACAAUAAUGUGUGUGUGUGUGUGUGUGUGCGUUUCAGCCCUCCCCCCCCAUGCCAGAGUCUGAUGCAAUCCUUUGCAGAGGGUUGUAAAUGUAUGCCUGCAUAAGCUGCACCUCUCGGCUGUGCCUUGCUUCUUGUUGCUGCCACCGCCGCCACUGCUUCUUGUAUUAAAACGGCGGACAUGGGCAUCUUAGGAAAAUACCACGAUUGGGAAAAUGCUUUGUAUACACCAUAAGGGUGAAGCUGAAAUGCUUACCAUUUGGACAAUUUGAAUGUAUUCGAUGAUUCAUCAAUUAUCAACAACGAUUGCACCUCGACACAUGACAAUAAAUAUGUGAAUUACAUUUGACUGUUUGACGCAACUCUGUUCUUUUGUCAAUAGAGAAAAAUCAAAAAG